AGUGUAGGCGGCAUAGCAAGUUAGAUGUGAAAGCCCGCAGCUUAACUGCGGAACUGCAUCUAAAACUGCUGAGCUUGAGUGCAGGAGAGGUAAGUGGAAUUCCUAGUGUAGCGGUGGAAUGCGUAGAUAUUAGGAGGAACAUCAGAGGCGAAGGCGACUUACUGGACUGUAACUGACGCUGAGGCUCGAAAGGCGUGGGAGCAAACA
RNAcentral lists this ribosomal RNA (207 nucleotides) under uncultured bacterium. RNAcentral's name for it is "partial 16S ribosomal RNA". It matches the Rfam family "Bacterial small subunit ribosomal RNA", at positions 568 to 774 of the family's 1533-position model. The record is from RNAcentral.